This 712-nucleotide long non-coding RNA is filed under the name Equus asinus (donkey). Its description in RNAcentral is "lncRNA (ENSEASG00005034908.1)". The record is from RNAcentral. Lineage: Eukaryota; Metazoa; Chordata; Mammalia; Perissodactyla; Equidae.
GCAGAAUGUCAGUUUAGUCAGUUAGAACUUUCAAUGCAGAAAUUCAGUGCCAUGCAGUCACGCAGAUCGAGAGCAGCACUUACCUUAAUUGAAAUAUUCUCUGUGAACGAGGAUACUAGUUGAAGAUGAGAAGACAUGGUUUCUGUCUUCCAGGAACUCUCAAUCAAUUGGAAAGACUGCUAUGAAAACAACUUUAUAAUACAAAUUGGGAAAAAAUGUGCUAAAAUAGAAACUAACUCAAUUGGUGUCCCCCUGACUCUGGACAAUAACAGCCUCCACUCAAAAGGAGUGUUUCCUAUGCUCAAGGAGCUCUAAGAUAGGAUAGAAGGGAGAGGAAAUUUGGACAUGAGCGGAGACACCGGGAAUGUACCUACAGAGAAAAGAACAUGUGAAGACUCAGCAAGAAAGACGCCAUCUGCCAGCCAAGGACAAGUCUCAGAAGAAAGAAAACCUGCCAACACCUUGAUCAGGGACUUCUAACCUCUGGAACAGUUUAAGGAAAAUGAGACUCAGCAUGAGAGAGAAAGAGGUUGGAGGUGGACAUACGAAGAAUCAACUGGUUAAAAAUGAAGUGUUUUAAGUCACAGAAGAGCUUUAAACAAUCCAUUUGCCUAAGAACCAUCUGUGUGACAUCAACAAACUUACUUUACCUCUCUGAGUUUUAUUUACCAAAUAUUUAAAAUGUUACUAAUAAAACAUCAUAGAAAUUAAA